UCCCAUCCGUUUUAAAUCCUUAAACCCCAAACGGAUAAAACCAUUCACUCCAUCUUUAUCAAUCUCCUACAGUAGCAUUUGCAGGCCGACUGGGUAGCAAAUGCAUGUGGCGUGCAACAAAUUUGACAAUUAAGGAUGCUCAUAGAUGUUAGAAUCAAAUGUCGCUUUAAAGUUUCAUGAAAUCAAUCCGACUAAAGUAUUCAUGUCAAUAUAAACUUAAAGUUUCCAAAAAUACAAGAAAUAAUGAAUUAAGAUUAGAGAACCUACUAACCAACUUUAUCGGUGUUUAAGAAGCAAGAUGACAAGACUCUAAAGGCAAAGACAGAAGUUGCGUAACAGAAAAAUCUCUGGUAAUAAUAAAUUAUUCGCAUAGCACGAGAAAUACGUAAUGCACGUUUCCCCGACUACAUUCAAUUGGUUGUUCCAUAUCUGAAGACUCGACUUCCAACUAAAUCUCAUAUACCACAUAUGUAGGAUUUAUACAGAGGCAUGAGUAUUGGAAACCUCCUCACUUUUAUAAUUUNNNNN
This 528-nucleotide long non-coding RNA is filed under the name Olea europaea (common olive). RNAcentral describes it as "long non-coding RNA (OEUR_LNC008086)". The record is from RNAcentral. Lineage: Eukaryota; Viridiplantae; Streptophyta; Magnoliopsida; Lamiales; Oleaceae.